CCUACGGGAGGCAGCAGUGAGGAAUAUUGGUCAAUGGACGAGAGUCUGAACCAGCCAAGUAGCGUGAAGGAUGACUGCCCUAUGGGUUGUAAACUUCUUUUAUAUGGGAAUAAAACGUUCCACGUGUGGGAUUUUGUAUGUACCAUAUGAAUAAGGAUCGGCUAAUUCCGUGCCAGCAGCCGCGGUAAUACGGAGGAUCCGAGCGUUAUCCGGAUUUAUUGGGUUUAAAGGGAGCGUAGGUGGGUUGUUAAGUCAGUUGUGAAAGUUUGCGGCUCAACCGUAAAAUUGCAGUUGAAACUGGCAGUCUUGAGUACAGUAGAGGUGGGCGGAAUUCGUGGUGUAGCGGUGAAAUGCUUAGAUAUCACGAAGAACUCCGAUUGCGAAGGCAGUUCACUGGACUGCAACUGACACUGAGGCUCGAAAGUGUGGGUAUCAAACAGGAUUAGAUACCCUAGUAGUC
This 460-nucleotide ribosomal RNA is filed under the name uncultured bacterium. RNAcentral's name for it is "partial 16S ribosomal RNA". It matches the Rfam family "Bacterial small subunit ribosomal RNA", at positions 338 to 795 of the family's 1533-position model. The record is from RNAcentral.